UUUUUGGUUUUUUAUAAAAAAUGUUUUCUGCUCAAUGUUUAGUAAAUAGCCGCGGUAAUUUGACCGUGCAAAGGUAGCAUAAUCAUUUGCUCUGUAAUUUAGGGCUUGUAUGAAUGGGAUUAUCGAGAAUUUUUCUGUCUUUAUUUUUUAAGUAGAAGUUGUAUUUCAUGCGAAGAUACAUGAAUUUAAAAAUAGGACAAGAAGACCCUUUGAGCUUUAUUUUUUAUUUUUUUUUUAAUUAUUUUUUGAUUUGGUUGGGGUGAUCGGGAAAGAGGUUUGAUAAUCUUUCUUUUUUUUUAUUUUGAACCAGUAUUGUUGGUUUAUAGAACAAGUUACCGAAGGGAUAACAGCGUAAUUUUUUUUGAGAGUUCUUAUUAAAGAAAAAGAUUGCGACCUCGAUGUUGACUUAUAGUUUCUUUUUGGUGUAGGCGCUAAUUAAGUAGGUCUGUUCGACCUUUAAAACUUU
RNAcentral lists this ribosomal RNA (466 nucleotides) under Tetranemertes ocelata. RNAcentral describes it as "partial large subunit ribosomal RNA". It matches the Rfam family "Bacterial large subunit ribosomal RNA", at positions 1890 to 2597 of the family's 2925-position model. The record is from RNAcentral. Lineage: Eukaryota; Metazoa; Nemertea; Enopla; Monostilifera; Poseidonemertidae.